CUACUAAUGAAGUAAGCUACACUGGCCUCAAACCCCACAGCGUGUGCAGGGCAGAGUUGCGAUUCGACCCCGGGCAGCGACCAGGGAUCCGACCAGAGACUGUCGGAUCCACGGUACACCCAGCUCGCUAUCUGCCCCCAAGGAGGGAAAGUACCCCGAGAGGCGUCGCCGGCAGGCCACCAAGUCUGCCCCAGACACAAGGCCCGGGAGAAAAUUCACAUCCCCCCAGGGCUCCGCUGAAAAACAAAAUGCCGGAAGUGAAGACGCCACCCCGUCCUGCCCUCGGUCCGCUGGACACAGUGGGGUAUUGCUCCAGGAUCUUGCUUCAGACGCAUAAGCUCCCCCAUCCAUUAAACCAUCGAUGUCUCUGUUGCUGACUCCGGGCUCUUCCGUCUUGAAGCUGGGCAAGCACAGGGCUUGUAGGCCUGCGGGGUGCAGCCCAACAGCUUCACAUGUAUUGACUCAUUUGAUGCUUCCAACAACUUCGUGAAGGAGGAAGCCAAGGCCUGCACCUGCCCAGGGGAGGACAAGGCGUGCAGGACUCAGGUCGGACGUUUGAGGAAGGAGAGGAGGAGCCCGGGAACGAUGGAGCCCCAAGAGCACGGGGCAGCUGAAGGGUGUGAAGAUAAAGAACUGAAGCAGGUUUAACGCUUUCCAGAUUGAAAGCUGAAGGGCACCGAUUUGGGUGCCAGAGUAACAGAAAGACUACAGGUCAGUGUGAUCACCGGCUCCGUCUAUUUGCACAACGAAAAGGAAGACACUGCAAUACCCGCAG
Balaenoptera acutorostrata (minke whale) is the source of this 775-nucleotide long non-coding RNA. RefSeq lists it as uncharacterized. The transcript is spliced from 4 exons. NCBI's taxonomy places the organism in Eukaryota, Metazoa, Chordata, Mammalia, Artiodactyla, Balaenopteridae. The record is from RefSeq and is a predicted model, not a curated record.